GUCAUUCUCUGUGGGCCAAGGUGAGGGGAGUUUUAUGAGUCGACAAAUGGUUGGGUUUGCAUGCUGCUUGGGGGAAACCUACAUCCCCAUGCCCCUUCUCCAAGCAAUGCAGGCAGCAGAGGGCUGCACCUGCUGGGCUCUGGAUCAUUACUGAGAAAUUGGAAGGAUUCAGUGGCUUUUCCAUACUGAGUAAACGUUAGAGUAAAAACCUGCAUUGGCCCAUCUCAGUCCUUCCCAGCUGGAAGCACUGUGGUUCUGCAAGAAGACAGCAGAGCUGGCAGGGAAAGAGGUUGGAACAGAAAAUGAGCUGAAACGUAAAGACAGAUAAAGUUUGUAGUGCUGCACCCCAGCAUUUAUGCUGUGAUCUGAAUGAGGAAAAUGCCAUACAGCUGUGUGAUAGUCAGCAGCGUGCAGCUGGAUGGAGAUCUACCCUCACUGGGAACCCACUGGAAGGGUGCAUUUUGGCUAAGACCUCCUCCUACCAGCCUGUUAUAGAGGAUAGGUCAGAGAAGCAGUGGCCUCUCCCCCAAAGGGAUGUGUGCCACAGAAGGAGUAUUUCAGGUGGUGAAACCUGCCCCUGGCAGUCUCCAAGGGCAAAGUGUUUAGAGAGGAGAGGAGAAAAGGGAGAAGGCCAUCUCUCUUUCAAACAGCCAGAGAAACUCUCUCCUAAAGUCGUCUGCUAGAUGUUUCUCUUUAGGGGGAGGGAUCCAAAGCUUUUAUUCUGGUUUGGUGAUUGUAACAGUGUGCUCUUGUAGGAAGAAUACAAAUUUCACUUUAAUAUACUGUUGUUUUGAGUUCUUGAGUUCUUUCUGUAUGUGAGUUCUUGCCUUCGGAAGCUGCACUGUAAAGAGCAUGGGUGAAAACUGGCUAUUACUAAAGGCACUUGAAAAGCAAACUAAGGGAAAGAUGUGGUUCAUGUGCACAGUACUGGGGGCUAAGCCACCAGGGGUCCUGCAAGUGGCCAGUGCACCAGCAGGGAUGGAUGCUCUUGUCCAUUUGUUCCCAAACAGGUGGCUGGGAGCUCAUCUGAGCAUCUGAUGGGCAAGCAAUGGUGGUGGGCUCUGGGCUGGUGAAAGCUUUCAGAGAGGUGGGCUGCAGACACUGACACUUCCUGAUAGGCCCCCAAAGUAAGCUUUCUCCUCUUUUACUAACUCCUGCAAGUUUC
Molecule: long non-coding RNA, 1165 nt
Filed under: Anas platyrhynchos platyrhynchos (common mallard)
Lineage: Eukaryota; Metazoa; Chordata; Aves; Anseriformes; Anatidae
Description: lncRNA (ENSAPLG00000023793.1)
Source: RNAcentral